RNAcentral lists this long non-coding RNA (221 nucleotides) under Elaeis guineensis (African oil palm). Its description in RNAcentral is "long non-coding RNA (EGUI_LNC047691)". The record is from RNAcentral. Lineage: Eukaryota; Viridiplantae; Streptophyta; Magnoliopsida; Arecales; Arecaceae.
AUCAAAGAAUCUUUAUGGGUUUAUCGAUUUUUUUCUCUAUUUUAUGUUUGAACUUUUUAAACUUUUCAAAAGUCUCAGACUUAUGAUACAUCAAAUACACAAAUCCAUACCGUGAGUAGUCAUCAGUAAAAGUUAUGAAGUAGAUAUAGCCACCCCUAACCUGUACAUCGAAUGGAUCGUACAUGUCAAUAUGCACCAAGGCUAAUAUAUCAGUGGCCCUU